GUGGGGAAUCUUAGACAAUGGGCGCAAGCCUGAUCUAGCCAUGCCGCGUGAGCGAUGAAGGCCUUAGGGUUGUAAAGCUCUUUCGUGGGGGAAGAUAAUGACUGUACCCCAAGAAGAAGCCCCGGCUAACUCCGUGCCAGCAGCCGCGGUAAUACGGAGGGGGCUAGCGUUGUUCGGAAUUACUGGGCGUAAAGCGCACGUAGGCGGACUGGAAAGUCAGGGGUGAAAUCCCGGGGCUCAACCUCGGAACUGCCUCCAAAACUAUCAGUCUUGAGUUCGAGAGAGGUGAGUGGAAUUCCGAGUGUAGAGGUGAAAUUCGUAGAUAUUCGGAGGAACACCAGUGGCGAAGGCGGCUCACUGGCUCGAUACUGACGCUGAGGUGCGAAAGCGUGGGGAGCAAACAGGAUUAGAAACCCCGGUAGUCC
RNAcentral lists this ribosomal RNA (425 nucleotides) under uncultured bacterium. RNAcentral's name for it is "partial 16S ribosomal RNA". It matches the Rfam family "Bacterial small subunit ribosomal RNA", at positions 354 to 796 of the family's 1533-position model. The record is from RNAcentral.